This 307-nucleotide long non-coding RNA is filed under the name Phoenix dactylifera (date palm). RNAcentral describes it as "long non-coding RNA (PDAC_LNC005553)". Lineage: Eukaryota; Viridiplantae; Streptophyta; Magnoliopsida; Arecales; Arecaceae. The record is from RNAcentral.
UUUUUGGUACAACGAUUGCUCAUGUCAAUCUAGCAUGAGUGUAACCAACAAAGUCAAGAAAAACAAAGUAGCAUAAAGGUGGGCGAUAUCAGACUAUGUCCACAAGACCUUUCUUGAAUGAUAAGCAACAAAGGAGGCGACCCAAUAUGCCACCCUAUUCGCCUCUCUGUACAUAUGAGCUGGCUGAAAAGAGUAGUAGUCUCUCACCAACCUCUGGAUAUCCUAAGCAGUAGGUAGUCGUUGCCUUAUCUCUCUACAUCCCGAAUCCACUCGAUCAUCAUAGCAGAGUCUCCUUCCAGGAAUAUGU